This is a long non-coding RNA of Oxyura jamaicensis (ruddy duck), 708 nucleotides long. RefSeq lists it as uncharacterized. The transcript has 2 exons. The record is from RefSeq and is a predicted model, not a curated record. Lineage: Eukaryota; Metazoa; Chordata; Aves; Anseriformes; Anatidae.
UAAAUGUUUAUAAAUGAAGUCAAAUGUUCACAGGAUUUUAUAAAUGAAAAUAGUAAUAGAAACAUUUUUUUUGUAGUAGUAGUAGUAUUUAUAUUGCUAAAGCCUUUCUCAUUAUGAAGAAAUGGUGCAGCAAAAAGCAGGCUGUAGGAAAGAAGAAUUAUUCAAGGGAAGAAUUCUGAAGGCUUGCAAUUUGUCCCUGUGGACUUAUUUGCGAACAGCCUGACAACAGUACUGCUCACCAAGCCCUUGGGUGCUGUCCCUGCAGAAGCAUGGUUUUUCUCUUCAUUCCAACUCUUUAUAUACCAAGUUAAUAAAAUGUUCAGGAUUUUCAAACACUUCCAUGGUUAAAUAAGUUAUUCAGAAAAUUAUAAACAGCUCCACAGAGGGAGGACUCCACUAUUGAUCCAUCUCUAAAAAGAACUUUAAUACUGAAAUAUUUGACAGGUUAAUGUCAUAACACUUCUACAUCUCUAGCUAUUUAUAGGUUUCCUAAGUACUCGUAAUCAUCGUGUUCCAGUAAAGCAUACUAGAUGAUUCCUAAUUUUUGUUUUGAUGUCAAUGCUUUCUUUUAUUUUGGACAAGCUAACAGACAUUUCUUAAUGUCAGUAAAAUGAGGAGUCUUACAGUUCAAGAAAGCAGAGACUGAAAGAAGAGAACAUUGCAGACAAAGAUGAUACUUUAAUUCUCAACUGUCACAAGAAGCACAGG